CUUUACUUUGCCAUUAGCUAAUUCUACCUCAGCCUGCCUGUUAGCAAAAUAAUUUGCUGCACCUGCUUCCACUUUCCAUGCCAUGGACAGUCGCUGGUUUUACAGAAUGCUUUCUGUUUGCCACGCUGUUCUGCCUGCCUGGAAAUGUUUUGCCUGCUCAAAUUUUUCAGGCUCAUACCUUAAGGACUUGUUACUAGUGGAUUUUCUCAUUUGAUGAUGUGUCAGCUGUAACUUCAACUACUACGUGUUGCAAUGAGCUAACCAGCAGAAUUUGUGUUGACAUCCAACAUUACUCCCUGGGAUAAAUUCAGUGAUCCGUGAAGUCUAAGCAGUACAGAAGUGCUAUUGCAUACUCUGAGACACGCAGCGUGGAGAUGAAUGCAGCAGUGUAAUGAAAGGACCCUGAUGUGCUGCCCAUAGUGUGUAACCCCGCAAGGUUUCUCGUAUGAGUAAAUGCCUGUGGACUUGAGCCAAAGCUUGAACUGAUUAGCCUGAGAAGACCAGUACUAUCACCAGACCGCGUGGUGUCAGAACAAGAUAAAACUGUACAGAGCGUACCACCAUGCACUGAAGUUUCUCCUUUAAAAAACAAGUUACUUUGGGCAUCUCUCAAUCACUGCGGUUACCAUGCUAGAAACAAUUGCUAUUCUGUGCUGUGGUUUUGUAAAGUAACAGUCUUAUUUAGAGCUUUGUGUGCUAAACUUGGAUAUGUCCACUCUAUUGUAGACUAUGCGUACCUAAAAAUGGAAUGGUUACGCUAAAAUUAAGCAGACAGCCAAAUGAUACACACUUCCUCUCCUUUGUUUUUUCUGACAGACCACAAUUACUGCAAAGAAGUUGUCCACUCAUUACUGCGAGCUCUGGGGAAAAGGAGGAGUGACAGUAUGUAGACCAAUAUAGCGUUAGUCUAAAGAGACACUUGCUGUGGCAAGCACAGCAUGUAAAUUCCAAAGUUAAGCACUCUGGAAAAUGUCCAAAAGAUGAAGAUACAAACAUUAUCCCUG
RNAcentral lists this long non-coding RNA (1004 nucleotides) under Anser brachyrhynchus (Pink-footed goose). RNAcentral's name for it is "lncRNA (ENSABRG00000007857.1)". The record is from RNAcentral. Lineage: Eukaryota; Metazoa; Chordata; Aves; Anseriformes; Anatidae.